Molecule: ribosomal RNA, 133 nt
Organism: Chelonoidis abingdonii (Abingdon island giant tortoise)
Lineage: Eukaryota; Metazoa; Chordata; Testudines; Testudinidae
Source: Ensembl
AGCUGCAGCCAUGUUUUCUGAGAGCAUGCCAUCACAGACCAUGAUCAUGGUAAGUCUCAAGUGGUAGGCUAAGUAGCAUUACCUGUUCAGUCCUUGGAUGGGAGACCUCUAAAGAAAAGCAGUGGUGCUGUGG